GAGUGUUUGAAGAACUCCUUUUUUAAUUGUUUAUUAUUUUAAAAAAUAAAAAAUGUCAAAUACGAAAAUACAAUUAAUGUUCUUUUGUGUAAUUAAGAUAUUGGUUUAAGUAAGAGAGAAGUGACACUUGUCAUGAGUAAAAGGGAAAAAGUCUAAAAGAUAAGGUUAGAGAGAGGGUUGAUAGCCCCCUUGUGCAAUUUGCUGCAUAGGCUAACUGAGAAGGGGUUGAUAGUGACACACAUUGGUUCUUGUGUCUACAUCAAAAGGCUACGUCAAAAGGUGUUUAAGGCUCGC
Molecule: long non-coding RNA, 294 nt
Filed under: Prunus persica (peach)
Lineage: Eukaryota; Viridiplantae; Streptophyta; Magnoliopsida; Rosales; Rosaceae
Description: long non-coding RNA (PPER_LNC004970)
Source: RNAcentral